GAGGGUGUAGCUCAGUAGGUAGAGCACUGGGUUGUGGUCCCAGUUGUCGCGGGUUCAAAUCCCGUCAUCCUCCCCA
This 76-nucleotide transfer RNA is filed under the name Actinoalloteichus caeruleus DSM 43889. RNAcentral describes it as "Actinoalloteichus cyanogriseus DSM 43889 tRNA-His". It matches the Rfam family "tRNA". From Rfam's summary of the family: Transfer RNA (tRNA) molecules are approximately 80 nucleotides in length. Their secondary structure includes four short double-helical elements and three loops (D, anti-codon, and T loops). Lineage: Bacteria; Bacillati; Actinomycetota; Actinomycetes; Pseudonocardiales; Pseudonocardiaceae. The record is from RNAcentral. RNAcentral also lists the same sequence under 2 other names.